RNAcentral lists this ribosomal RNA (447 nucleotides) under uncultured bacterium. RNAcentral's name for it is "partial 16S ribosomal RNA". It matches the Rfam family "Bacterial small subunit ribosomal RNA", at positions 329 to 793 of the family's 1533-position model. The record is from RNAcentral.
UUCCAGACUCCUACGGGAGGCAGCAGUGGGGAAUAUUGCACAAUGGGGGGAACCCUGAUGCAGCGACGCCGCGUGGGUAAAGAAGCGCCUCGGCGCGUAAAGCCCUGUCAGCAGGGAAGAAAAUGACGGUACCUGAAGAAGAAGCCCCGGCUAACUACGUGCCAGCAGCCGCGGUAAUACGUAGGGGGCAAGCGUUAUCCGGAUUUACUGGGUGUAAAGGGGGCGCAGACGGCGAUGCAAGCCAGGAGUGAAAGCCCGGGGCCCAACCCCGGGACUGCUCUUGGAACUGCGUGGCUGGAGUGCAGGAGGGGCAGGCGGAAUUCCUGGUGUAGCGGUGAAAUGCGUAGAUAUCAGGAGGAACACCGGUGGCGAAGGCGGCCUGCUGGACUGCAACUGACGUUGAGGCCCGAAAGCGUGGGGAGCAAACAGGAUUAGAUACCCCGGUAA